Molecule: ribosomal RNA, 390 nt
Filed under: Entamoeba histolytica
Lineage: Eukaryota; Evosea; Mastigamoebida; Endamoebidae
Description: SSU rRNA
Rfam family: Eukaryotic small subunit ribosomal RNA
Source: RNAcentral
ACUUGUUAGACUUAAGAGAAUCUUGAGUUUAUGGACUUCAGGGGGAGUAUGGUCACAAGGCUGAAACUUAAAGGAAUUGACGGAAGGGCACACCAGGAGUGGAGCCUGCGGCUUAAUUUGACUCAACACGGGAAAACUUACCAAGACCGAACAGUAGAAGGAAUGACAGAUUAAGAGUUCUUUCAUGAUUUAUUGGGUAGUGGUGCAUGGCCGUUCUUAGUUGGUGGAGUGAUUUGUCAGGUUAAUUCCGGUAACGAACGAGACUGAAACCUAUUAAUUAGUUUUCUGCCUAUAAGACAGAAAUGUUCGCAAGAACAGGUGCGUAAGUACCACUUCUUAAAGGGACACAUUUCAAUUGUCCUAUUUUAAUUGUAGUUAUCUAAUUUCGUA